Non-coding RNA from Hordeum vulgare subsp. vulgare (domesticated barley), 196 nucleotides. Lineage: Eukaryota; Viridiplantae; Streptophyta; Magnoliopsida; Poales; Poaceae. The record is from Rfam.
GUACCUUUCUCGAUAUUUUGGUUAAGAUCAAGUAUAGUAUAUGUUCGUAUCAGUUUGAUAUGUGACAUGUGAACCAUAUGCCUACAACGAUAUUCAUUCUUUUUUAUGGACAUGGGUCCAUCACACUAGCUUGCUACUAGGGUUCUCACGUACCUCCUGACACCUUGCACUAUUGCCUAGGCCUGGCGCACCCUAA